Molecule: ribosomal RNA, 478 nt
Filed under: uncultured bacterium
Lineage: Bacteria
Description: partial 16S ribosomal RNA
Rfam family: Bacterial small subunit ribosomal RNA
Source: RNAcentral
GAUGAACGCUAGCGGCAGGCCUAACACAUGCAAGUCGAGGGAGAAGCCCUUUCGGGGGCAGAAACCGGCGCACGGGUGCGUAACGCGUAUGCAACCUACCUUUCACAGGGGGAUAGCCCGAAGAAAUUUGGAUUAAUACCCCAUAAUAUUAUUGGAUGGCAUCAUUUGAUAAUUAAAACUGCGGUGGUGAAAGAUGGGCAUGCGUCCUAUUAGCUAGUUGGAGUGGUAACGGCACCCCAAGGCUACGAUAGGUAGGGGUCCUGAGAGGGAGAUCCCCCACACUGGUACUGAGACAUGGACCAGACUCCUACGGGAGGCAGCAGUGAGGAAUAUUGGUCAAUGGUCGGAAGACUGAACCAGCCAUGCCGCGUGCAGGAAGAAUGCCUUAUGGGUUGUAAACUGCUUUUAGAUGGGAAGAAUAAGGCGUACGUGUACGUUGAUGACGGUACCAUAUGAAUAAGCAUCGGCUAACUCCGUG